AAUAAUAUCGCUUUGUGAUAUAAGAAAAGUUUUUAUCGAUACUCUUCUUCCAUAGACUGUUUAUGGUCAUAUAGCUAUUAUCAAUCCUUGGCUCUUAAAUAAUUGACUUUGAACGUUCUUGGUGAAGGUAAAUCAAGAAAGGCCAUUUGGUCACAUGAAAUUUAUAUAACGUGUUGUUUUUAUUUUGACAAUUCUUGAACCAAACUUUAAAAUUUGAAGACAAAAUGAUUGUAUAAAUAUUGUUUUGAGGGGGAAUGAACCUUUUUGUUUUAACUUUCAAUAAAUUUUGGGGAGAUUCCUGAAAUAAAAACCAACCUUGACAUCAACCCUUUUAUACUUUAAGAAUAAAAUGUAUGUGGUAGUAUUGUACAGAAAAGAUGUUUUCAAAGUUUAUUGUAAUUAAAAAAGGCUAUCUAGACUGGAUUGACAAAAUAAAGCAUGUUGAACAAAAAUUGCUGAAUUAACAAAAACAAAGAAUAUAGAAUAACCGAGUGCUUUAAGAGUAUAGGGAACAUAGAUUAAUUUACAAAAUUAAUAGAGAAAAGAAAAAUAUGGACAAUACAAAUAAAGAAUAAAGAAAAAUCGGCAAAAUAAAAAAAAAUUAAUAGAGAAAAAUGUCAAAAGAUUUUUAAUAAUUUUCCCCCCUCAUCUGAGCAGGAUUAAAAGUGAGUUCAACUUGUUGAUUGAUAAAUUCAGAUGUAAUUUUGUUUCAUUGAUUUUGAAAAAAAAGUUUAUCUAUUACAAAAUGUAUUGUAUGAACCCA
Molecule: long non-coding RNA, 763 nt
Filed under: Mytilus galloprovincialis (Mediterranean mussel)
Lineage: Eukaryota; Metazoa; Mollusca; Bivalvia; Mytilida; Mytilidae
Source: RNAcentral